AAAAGCUUGAGUUUGGUUGUGGAAACUAGUAUAAUGACUCGAAAAAUUGACUCUCUUCAAAAUGGCUAGGUAUACGAAUUAUUGUUUGAUGGUUUGCUUGGGCCAAUGCAAAAUAAAAGAGAAAAUCCAUUUGCUUUGCAUGGAUUUGAUGGGUUAGGAUGAAGCCCCCUUAGUGGCUUGCACUUGGCAGGAGCCCCCAAGUCAUCAUCAGGAAGUUUUAUGCUUGCUUGCAAGAAGUAUGAGGCAACUAAAAGAGAAGCCCUCUUGUCCAUUGCAUCCUACCAUGUUUCGCUAAUUGCCUCAGUCUCUC
RNAcentral lists this long non-coding RNA (310 nucleotides) under Prunus persica (peach). RNAcentral's name for it is "long non-coding RNA (PPER_LNC006008)". Lineage: Eukaryota; Viridiplantae; Streptophyta; Magnoliopsida; Rosales; Rosaceae. The record is from RNAcentral.